Molecule: long non-coding RNA, 472 nt
Filed under: Ananas comosus (pineapple)
Lineage: Eukaryota; Viridiplantae; Streptophyta; Magnoliopsida; Poales; Bromeliaceae
Description: long non-coding RNA (ACOM_LNC014478)
Source: RNAcentral
GGUGUUACUUUUUAGGGGCAAUUGUUUGUAUAUACCUAAAAAGUUUUCGACUUUCUGAUUUACCCUUCUUAGAAGCUUAAUGUUGAAAAUAUCUUUUUUACGUUCCAAUCUAUUUCAAAUAUAUCCUUAGAGUUAAAAUCUGUUAAUUAACUCUGUUAUCUGUAUAAAAUUACUAUUUUGUCCUUUCAAAUAUACUCUUCCACCACACCGACUUUUCUUAUUUGCUCUUAAAGUCAGGGGCACAAAAAGUAUUUUGACUUUUGGUCUUUUCAAAUAUACCUCUUUAUCGUCACCAACAUUUCUUAUUUAUCCUUAAGUUAAGGACAAAAUUGGCAUUUUAAUUUUUUUUUAACUGUGGUAGAUAUUUAACUCAUGUUUAAUCCAAGUUAACUUAACAGGAGAUAACUGAGAUAUUUUAGAAAGAAAAAAAAGUAGAGAUAAAUUGAAUUUUUUCAAACAUAUGAGAGAUAUA